Molecule: ribosomal RNA, 581 nt
Filed under: Streptococcus pneumoniae
Lineage: Bacteria; Bacillati; Bacillota; Bacilli; Lactobacillales; Streptococcaceae
Description: bacterial LSU rRNA
Rfam family: Bacterial large subunit ribosomal RNA
Source: RNAcentral
AGCUUAGAAGCAGCUAUUCAUUCAAAGAGUGCGUAAUAGCUCACUAGUCGAGUGACCCUGCGCCGAAAAUGUACCGGGGCUAAAACAAUUUACCGAAGCUGUGGAUACCUUUAUAGGUAUGGUAGGAGAGCGUUCUAUGUGUGAUGAAGGUAUACCGUGAGGAGUGCUGGAACGCAUAGAAGUGAGAAUGCCGGUAUGAGUAGCGAAAGACAGGUGAGAAUCCUGUCCACCGUAAGACUAAGGUUUCCAGGGGAAGGCUCGUCCGCCCUGGGUUAGUCGGGACCUAAGGAGAGACCGAAAGGUGUAUCCGAUGGACAACAGGUUGAUAUUCCUGUACUAGAGUAUGUAGUGAUGGAGGGACGCAGUAGGCUAACUAAAGCAGACGAUUGGAAGAGUCUGUCUAAGCAGUGAGGUGUGAAUUGAGUCAAAUGCUUAAUUCUAUAACAUUGAGCUGUGAUGGGGAGCGAAGUUUAGUAGCGAAGUUAGUGACGUCACACUGCCAAGAAAAGCUUCUAGCGUUUAAACAUACUCUACCCGUACCGCAAACCGACACAGGUAGUCGAGGCGAGUAGCCUCAGGUG